GCGAAUUUUCCUCUUCGAUGACUUGUGAGACUACUGUUGCACACAACACCUUUUGCAAAAUGCUUCUAAAAUGAAGGUAGAAAGUGAUAAGCAACAUAAGGAAAGAUCAUUCAUAGGAUGUUGAUGUGGGAGAAAUUACAUCUUUUCCAGGGAAGAGACUGGAAGGAUUACGGACAAAAGAGCCACUUUAGAGUGAGACUUAAAACAUGAUUAGGGACUGCAGAAGUAGAAACUGCAUAGAGAAAUUACUAAAUUAAAAGGAGACAUGAAGUUUAUAAAAUCUACACAUAAAUGGAUUUAUGUGCCAAGUAAGGGUAAAAUGAAGUGAUUUCUGAAAUGAUCAACUCAAAAUGUUUUUAAUUCUGAAAAUCACGAGUUUAUUCCAUCAGCUCUGAAAAACUGCUGACGAUUUUGAGCAGGAAAGACCAUUGACCUGAAUUAUGUUUGGGAAGAUCAAUCCAGCAGUUGUAUAUAGAACAUAUUAGAAAAAGAGAAAAGUAGCAGGUAUACAACUUGCAAAGAAUCAUGAAUAAGUACAAUGAUCAUCCCUUCUUUUCCACCAACUGAGAUGCCAUUCAAAUUCCUCCUCCUGCUCUCCCAAGAAAGAGAAGGCCUUCAUUAUAGACCUGGAAGA
This 634-nucleotide long non-coding RNA is filed under the name Marmota monax (woodchuck). The record is from RNAcentral. Lineage: Eukaryota; Metazoa; Chordata; Mammalia; Rodentia; Sciuridae.